Long non-coding RNA from Polistes dominula (European paper wasp), 388 nucleotides. NCBI's taxonomy places the organism in Eukaryota, Metazoa, Arthropoda, Insecta, Hymenoptera, Vespidae. The record is from RefSeq and is a predicted model, not a curated record.
CAUAUGUGUCAUAUAAUUAUCUUCCACCGGAGACAUUCCUGCAUAAUAUUCUUCAACGUUAUACUGCAAUUUCUCUGUUAAUGAUUUGAUUCAAUUACAAGAGAAAAAAAAAAAAACAAAAGAAAAAGAAACGAGGAAUAAAUUACCAGAAAUAGGUGUGUAGAGGGAAUAGGAAGGAACACAAUUUGUAACUUCAUCUUCAUAGAUGGGAUGACGAUGAUAAUGGUAGCAAGGAAGAUAAAACUACGUGAGUGAUAGCAGCAGUGAGACCCCAAACACGAUGUUUACCACCGAGAUAAGUAUAUGACAAAGGCUUCUUCAACUUCGUCUGGAUUUAUUUCUAAAUUUGCUGGAUCAAUUUCACCCACGUAGCCCAAUACUGGCAUUA